AGAGAACAAAACUUAGCGUAAUCUUCUGCUUCAACUGUAGGUGGCUGGCCCCGAACAUGGCAAUGUAUCAUUCAUGCACGCUCGCUGAGCAAAGAACACAUCGUUUUACUUCUAAGAGAACAGGCCGCCGCAGUUCAAAGGAAUGCGUAGCGAGCGCUCUACUUUUUCACUCGGAGUUCUCCACCGCGCGCGCGCGCGCUCAAGAUCGCGGAACAACACAGCACCGGACAGCGAGCAGCGAGUCGACGCAGGCCUGCAGCCAGGGGAGAUCGUGUAUCAGCCAUCUCGCGUUGCCACGAAAACACGACAGUCGUUCGUCAUGCCUUGGAUAUAGCAACAAAUCCUCCACGGGACAACCCAGGACGUGCAUUUCUCAGCACCCAGUCAACUGCCAGAAGUGACUCGAACACAGGCCACCAGUGGCACUCGGCUGUACCACUGCAGUGCUGUGGAAAUUGCCAGCACCAGCGGCUUUGCAACAGCUGUUUCACAGCAUGUCGGAGACAAUGCCUACGAAAUUAUUGGCCCUGAUGACGAGAGCCCUCAAGGGGCAAACGACAUCUCUGUUGCAGAAGUGAGCCCGAUACCACCUGAAGUUACCAUGACAGGUGGCACGGCAGCAAUAGAUACAGAGACGGCCAUGUCUACUGCAGCUGCAACAGUGUACGAGGCAAGCAGCAGUGUGUCAGCAUCAGGAGCAGUGUCAGAAGGAACCGCACCAGGCCUGGUAGAGCAACAUGUGUGCUAUCACUGUGACUUUUUUUGUAGUGCAUACAACUCAUUUGCUCAACAUACGAAAGCUUUUCACCACGACUGUGAGCCAGUGUUCUUGUGCAGCAAGUGCAAGACUAAGUUAAGUGUUAUAACACAGUACAAGCAUCACUUUAAGAUAUGAAAACAUAUUACAGUUGUUGCCUCCCCAGCCAGCCCACAUAGCGACAACAAUG
This is a non-coding RNA of Dermacentor albipictus, 947 nucleotides long. The record is from RefSeq and is a predicted model, not a curated record. Lineage: Eukaryota; Metazoa; Arthropoda; Arachnida; Ixodida; Ixodidae.